This 878-nucleotide ribosomal RNA is filed under the name Bacillus licheniformis. Its description in RNAcentral is "bacterial SSU rRNA". It matches the Rfam family "Bacterial small subunit ribosomal RNA", at positions 49 to 907 of the family's 1533-position model. The record is from RNAcentral. Lineage: Bacteria; Bacillati; Bacillota; Bacilli; Caryophanales; Bacillaceae.
UAAUACAUGCAAGUCGAGCGGACCGACGGGAGCUUGCUCCCUUAGGUCAGCGGCGGACGGGUGAGUAACACGUGGGUAACCUGCCUGUAAGACUGGGAUAACUCCGGGAAACCGGGGCUAAUACCGGAUGCUUGAUUGAACCGCAUGGUUCAAUUAUAAAAGGUGGCUUUUAGCUACCACUUACAGAUGGACCCGCGGCGCAUUAGCUAGUUGGUGAGGUAACGGCUCACCAAGGCGACGAUGCGUAGCCGACCUGAGAGGGUGAUCGGCCACACUGGGACUGAGACACGGCCCAGACUCCUACGGGAGGCAGCAGUAGGGAAUCUUCCGCAAUGGACGAAAGUCUGACGGAGCAACGCCGCGUGAGUGAUGAAGGUUUUCGGAUCGUAAAACUCUGUUGUUAGGGAAGAACAAGUACCGUUCGAAUAGGGCGGUACCUUGACGGUACCUAACCAGAAAGCCACGGCUAACUACGUGCCAGCAGCCGCGGUAAUACGUAGGUGGCAAGCGUUGUCCGGAAUUAUUGGGCGUAAAGCGCGCGCAGGCGGUUUCUUAAGUCUGAUGUGAAAGCCCCCGGCUCAACCGGGGAGGGUCAUUGGAAACUGGGGAACUUGAGUGCAGAAGAGGAGAGUGGAAUUCCACGUGUAGCGGUGAAAUGCGUAGAGAUGUGGAGGAACACCAGUGGCGAAGGCGACUCUCUGGUCUGUAACUGACGCUGAGGCGCGAAAGCGUGGGGAGCGAACAGGAUUAGAUACCCUGGUAGUCCACGCCGUAAACGAUGAGUGCUAAGUGUUAGAGGGUUUCCGCCCUUUAGUGCUGCAGCAAACGCAUUAAGCACUCCCCCUGGGGAGUACGGUCGCAAGACUGGGGAACAAUUG